This 74-nucleotide small RNA is filed under the name Sphingomonas sp. Leaf343. RNAcentral's name for it is "Makes More Granules Regulator RNA (mmgR)". It matches the Rfam family "Makes More Granules Regulator RNA (mmgR)". Rfam says of the family: SuhB later renamed mmgR (makes more granules regulator) was a putative non-coding RNA found multiple times in the Agrobacterium tumefaciens genome and related alpha-proteobacteria. The record is from Rfam by way of RNAcentral. Lineage: Bacteria; Pseudomonadati; Pseudomonadota; Alphaproteobacteria; Sphingomonadales; Sphingomonadaceae.
AGAGCGUGCCUUUCAGGCAUCCUCUCCUAAAAACUUACACAGGCCGGCUUGUCCGGCCUUUUUUUUUGCCCGAC